GAGGCUUUUAAAAGGUGAAAAGCACAACACUUUUAAUGUUGGGGUCAUGGGUUCGAACCCCAUGCGAAUCA
Molecule: transfer RNA, 71 nt
Filed under: Candidatus Prevotella avicola
Lineage: Bacteria; Pseudomonadati; Bacteroidota; Bacteroidia; Bacteroidales; Prevotellaceae
Description: tRNA-Lys
Rfam family: tRNA (bases 3-63)
About the family: Transfer RNA (tRNA) molecules are approximately 80 nucleotides in length.
Source: RNAcentral